This 614-nucleotide ribosomal RNA is filed under the name uncultured bacterium. RNAcentral's name for it is "bacterial SSU rRNA". It matches the Rfam family "Bacterial small subunit ribosomal RNA", at positions 35 to 630 of the family's 1533-position model. The record is from RNAcentral.
GCUGGCGGCGUGCCUAACACAUGCAAGUCGAACGCGAAAGUCCUUCGGGAUGAGUAAAGUGGCGCACGGGUGAGUAACACGUAGGUGACCUUCCGUUUAGAGGGGAAUAACCAGAAGAAAUUUUGGCUAAUGCCGCAUACGAAGUACAAAUUUUAAAGUAGUACUUGAAAGGAUGCCUCUGUAUGUGCAUUCACUAAACGAUGGGCCUGCGGAACAUUAGCUAGUUGGUGGGGUAAUGGCCUACCAAGGCUACGAUGUUUAUCCGGUCUGAGAGGAUGAUCGGACACACUGGAACUGAGACACGGUCCAGACUCCUACGGGAGGCAGCAGUGGGGAAUAUUGCGCAAUGGGGGAAACCCUGACGCAGCAACGCCGCGUGAGUGAGGAAGGACUUCGGUCUGUAAAGCUCUGUUAAUGUGGAAAAAUGGUUAGUGGUCUAAUAGGCCAUUGAUUUGAUGGUACACAUAGAGGAAGCACCGGCUAACUUCGUGCCAGCAGCCGCGGUAAUACGAAGGGUGCAAGCGUUGUUCGGAUUUAUUGGGCGUAAAGCGCGCGUAGGCGGACCUUUAAGUCAGAUGUGAAAUCUCGGGGCUCAACCUCGAAACUGCGUCUGA